UGGGGAACCUGGUACUAAACCAUUCCUAGAUGACCUGCUUCUGGGUUGGGGUUUCAGACGUAGCAGAACAGCUCCCUCCCUCGCUGCCAUCUAUUGAAAGUCAGCCCUCAACACAAAGGUUU
RNAcentral lists this ribosomal RNA (122 nucleotides) under Ailuropoda melanoleuca (giant panda). RNAcentral's name for it is "similar to 28S ribosomal RNA". The record is from RNAcentral. Lineage: Eukaryota; Metazoa; Chordata; Mammalia; Carnivora; Ursidae.